AAGAGACUCCGACUCACAGCAGGCAAACGCAGCAUGCUGGAGGAAGAGGGGCGACAUCACGUGUGAGCUCGAGCUGAUCUGACAGGCACAUUCUCCCAGUGUCGACCACACAUUCAAAGUUGGGCUGGAGGAGCGGAGAGGUGCAGUGGGCGCGCCAGGCUGACGCGUCAGACAUGGACCAACGGAAUGAAGAGAACUUAUUGGUGCUCGGCUCGGAGCAGAAGAAGAAAGCUUUCAUUCAGAGAAAGCUGCCGAGUAAAAACCAAUUUCUCCGCUCUUGAUGCAGGUUGAUGACAGAAAGACUCAUAUGGACUCUGCUGCUCACUCAUCUCGUCUCAAUCUCGUCUCAAUCUCCAGCAACCCCAUAGUGACCAUCCUAUCC
Long non-coding RNA from Pleuronectes platessa (European plaice), 382 nucleotides. RefSeq lists it as uncharacterized. The record is from RefSeq and is a predicted model, not a curated record. The transcript has 3 exons. Lineage: Eukaryota; Metazoa; Chordata; Actinopteri; Pleuronectiformes; Pleuronectidae.